CAAUAGCGUAUAUUAAAGUUGUUGCGGUUAAAAAGCUCGUGGUUGGAUUUCGGCUGAGGACGACCGGUCCGCCCUCCGGUUGAGCAUCUGGUUCGGCCUUGGCAUCUUCUUGGUGAACGUAUCUGCACUUGACUUUGUGGUGCGGUACCCAGGACUUUUACUUUGAGGAAAUUCGAGUGUUUCAAGCAGGCAUACGCCUAUGGAAUAAUAAGAUAGGACCUCGGUUCUAUUUUAUUGGUUUCUAGAGCUGAGGCAAUGAUUAAUAGGGAUAGUUGGAGGCAUUCGUAUUUAAAUGUCAGGGGUGGAAUUCUUGGAUUUGUUAAAGACGGACUACUGCGAAAGCAUGUGCCAAGGAUGUUUUCAUAGAUCAAGAACGAAAGUUAGGGGAUCGAAGACGAUCAGAUACCG
RNAcentral lists this ribosomal RNA (408 nucleotides) under uncultured eukaryote. RNAcentral's name for it is "SSU rRNA". It matches the Rfam family "Eukaryotic small subunit ribosomal RNA", at positions 592 to 1017 of the family's 1831-position model. The record is from RNAcentral.